This 383-nucleotide ribosomal RNA is filed under the name uncultured bacterium. RNAcentral's name for it is "bacterial SSU rRNA". It matches the Rfam family "Bacterial small subunit ribosomal RNA", at positions 29 to 412 of the family's 1533-position model. The record is from RNAcentral.
AUUGAACGCUGGCGGCAUGCCUUACACAUGCAAGUCGAACGGCAGCACGGGAGCAAUCCUGGUGGCGAGUGGCGAACGGGUGAGUAAUAUAUCGGAACGUGCCCGGUCGUGGGGGAUAACGUAGCGAAAGCUACGCUAAUACCGCAUACGAUCUACGGAUGAAAGCGGGGGAUCGCAAGACCUCGCGCGAUUGGAGCGGCCGAUAUCAGAUUAGGUAGUUGGUGAGGUAAAGGCUCACCAAGCCGACGAUCUGUAGCUGGUCUGAGAGGACGACCAGCCACACUGGGACUGAGACACGGCCCAGACUCCUACGGGAGGCAGCAGUGGGGAAUUUUGGACAAUGGGCGCAAGACCUGAUCCAGCAAUGCCGCGUGCAGGAUGAA